This 888-nucleotide ribosomal RNA is filed under the name Triticum aestivum (bread wheat). Its description in RNAcentral is "partial small subunit ribosomal RNA". The record is from RNAcentral. Lineage: Eukaryota; Viridiplantae; Streptophyta; Magnoliopsida; Poales; Poaceae.
AUGAUCGUCGGAGAAUGCAUUGGUUUGCUUGGUGGAAGAUGUGUAUACCGGAAAAAGAGGGGUGGCCUGGGAUUCCGAGAUGUCCAUUCUUUCAACCUUGCCAUGCUAGCUAAGCAAUGUUGGAGGCUCAUUGAGAACUUUGAUUCCCUUUGUGCAAGAGUACUUCGAGCUAGAUAUUACCCCUCUGGUGACAUAUUAAACUGCACCUUGAAGAAAGGGUCUUCAUUUGUGUGGCAGAGUAUCUUUGCAGGGAUUCAAACUUUCAAGAAGGGAAGCAUUUGGAGAGUGGGAGAUGGUGUAAAGAUAAACAUUUGGGAAGAUUGUUGGAUUCCUAAUAGUCCAUCAAGGAAAGUAAUUACGGUGCGAGGUAACUGGGUUUUGACAUAUGUUAAUGAACUAAUAGAUCCCGCCUCCGGUGAAUGGAAUGAAUUGCUUGUGCGUGAUAAUUUUUGGCAAAUUGAUAUAGAACGAAUUUUAAAAAUCCCACUUGCACACCAUGAAGAGGACAAUAUCGCCUGGCAUUUUACAAAAAGUGUAACAUUUAGUGUACGGUCAUCAUAUCAUGUUGAAUGGGAUGAUCGAUUUGGAAGUAAACUGCAAAGUGAAGAGGGACAAACCUGUUCGCGCAACCAUCCAGAAUGAAAAGUUUGGAAUCUGAAACUACCGGGGAAGAUAAAGAUGCUUGUGUGGAGAUGCUUGCACAAUACGAUUCCUUUCCUUUGUACACUUGCCAACCGCCAUGUAGGUAAUACUGCUCAAUGCCCUUUAUGCAAAAGCAGUGUCGAGGAUAUUAAACAUGCACUUUUCACAUGUGACCAGGAGAAUAAUAUAUGGAGAGAGUUGGGCUUGCAUGAAAUAAUAGAAGAAGCCUUGGUGGUGGACCGAUGA